RNAcentral lists this ribosomal RNA (266 nucleotides) under uncultured bacterium. Its description in RNAcentral is "partial 16S ribosomal RNA". It matches the Rfam family "Bacterial small subunit ribosomal RNA", at positions 524 to 790 of the family's 1533-position model. The record is from RNAcentral.
CACGUAGGGCGCAAGCGUUGUCCGGAAUUAUUGGGCGUAAAGAGCUCGUAGGCGGUCUGUUGCGUCCGCUGUGAAAACUCGGGGCUUAACCCCGAGCCUGCAGUGGAUACGGGCAGACUAGAGGUAGGUAGGGGAGAAUGGAAUUCCCGGUGUAGCGGUGAAAUGCGCAGAUAUCGGGAGGAACACCGGUGGCGAAGGCGGUUCUCUGGGCCUUACCUGACGCUGAGGAGCGAAAGCGUGGGGAGCGAACAGGAUAGAAACCCGGU